UGGUCUGGGGAGAGCACACCAGGAAGGAGAUGAGAAAGCUUCGGAGGACAGCAGCAGGUGCUUCCCCUCAUCCCAUCCCCACACAAAGAUCUGGGUUCCAGCUCCAACGCUGCCUCCAGAUGUUCAACUGUUUUUGGGCCAGUGGUCUAACCUCUCUGGGCUUUAGCUUCAUCAUCAUCUCUUGUCAGAUGUGCUCUGCCUACCUCUCAGGACUGGACUGCUGAGUGGAGGGUUAUAAGACAGAGCUCUUUCACUGGGGUGGAUGCAUCAUGCAAAGAUGGUAGACACAACUUGUAUUUAAAAGACCUGGCUCCAAUUUCAGACUCUAACCUGUGCUUACAGGCUUUACAACAAUUCUAAGAUGCAACAAGAAGCUAAGGCUAAGGAGGGGAGAGAGACAGACAGACAGACAGACAGAAGUGGUCUGUGAACCUAGUGGCUUCUGCAGACUUCCAGCAUUGGUAGAUGGAGAAAAUCCAGCAUAAAACUUGAAGUCCCUAGAAGAUGGUGAAGCCACAAGACAGGAGACACCUGGGUUUUUGAAUCGCCACUUCGACAAACACCCAUUUGGGCCUUAUACAAGGGAAAAAUGAUCCAUGAUGUUAAACCACCAAGAUUUGAGUUGUAUGUUACACCAACUGUUGUAUUACAGAUCCAGUAAAAAGAGAUCCAUCAGUGUUUCA
Molecule: long non-coding RNA, 683 nt
Organism: Suricata suricatta (meerkat)
Lineage: Eukaryota; Metazoa; Chordata; Mammalia; Carnivora; Herpestidae
Exons: 5
Source: RefSeq, a predicted model, not a curated record